Molecule: ribosomal RNA, 465 nt
Filed under: uncultured bacterium
Lineage: Bacteria
Description: partial 16S ribosomal RNA
Rfam family: Bacterial small subunit ribosomal RNA
Source: RNAcentral
CCUACGGGUGGCAGCAGUGGGGAAUAUUGCGCAAUGGGCGAAAGCCUGACGCAGCGACGCCGCGUGCGGGAUGAAGGUCCUCGGAUCGUAAACCUCUGUCAGCAGGGAAGAACGGUCACUGUGCUAAUCAGCAGUGAAUUGACGGUACCUGCAAAGGAAGCACCGGCUAACGCCGUGCCAGCAGCAGCGGUUAGACGGAGGGUGCGAGCGUUAAUUGGAAUUACUGGGCGGAAAGGGCGCGUAGGCGGUAUGUCAAGUCAAGGGUGAAAUCCCGGCGCUCAACGUGGGAACUGCCUUUGAAACUGGCAAGCUGGAGUAUGUGAGAGGAUAGUGGAAUUCAAGGUGUAGGGGUGAAAUCCGGAGAUAUCUGGAGGAACAUCAGUGGCGAAGGCGACUAUCUGGCACAUAACUGACCCUGAGGAGCGAAAGCGUGGGUAGCAAACAGGAUUAGAUACCCCAGUAGUC